AUGAAAUCAACAUCUUGAGCAUGUAACUUAUAUGAUGUUGUAUUUCAAUUAUAUCUAAGUUAAGCUGAAAAAAUAUCAACAAUGGAAGCAACUUAAUAGUUAGAGAAGACUAAAGAAACAUGACAUGGAAACUCCCUGGUUGGACAGAGAAAAGGUUUUAAAAAUGGAGGAAUUUGAAUAUAGUGCAUAUCAUAGGUUUGAAUUCUAAAAAUAGAAGGUUGGUGAAAGUAAAAUGAGAAGAUUUGGACUAAAAGAAACAAAUGGUUUUAGAGUUGUCCAGAGUGACUUGAGAGAAAAUAUAAAGGAUACAAAUGAAAAGCCAAAUGAAGAGCUAUAUCUAGCAAGACCUAGAAGAGUCCCAAGUGAACACAGGAGCUUCUGUUCCAGAGGAGAUUGGGGAAGAGCUGCAAUUUCCCCCAUCAAAAUUGCUCAGUCUUAGCAAAACAACCCUGGAGACUUCCAGUCUAACAAUGUCAGUAUUCCAAAAGUAGUUUCAUGUGCCUUAUUUUUGUGAGUCGAACCAUCUUCCUCCUUUUAUUAAACU
Long non-coding RNA from Mustela putorius furo (domestic ferret), 544 nucleotides. Ensembl lists it as uncharacterized. The record is from Ensembl. Lineage: Eukaryota; Metazoa; Chordata; Mammalia; Carnivora; Mustelidae.